UAUCUUUGUCCCACAUCUAUCAGAGUAUCAAUUCGUCGCCUUUUACUACGGAUUGCCUUGGAUAGUUGGACUUGUUAAGAUGUGUAUUUUUUGUAGCCCUUCUGGGU
This 107-nucleotide small nuclear RNA is filed under the name Gregarina niphandrodes. RNAcentral describes it as "U5 spliceosomal RNA". It matches the Rfam family "U5 spliceosomal RNA". From Rfam's summary of the family: U5 RNA is a component of both types of known spliceosome. The precise function of this molecule is unknown, though it is known that the 5' loop is required for splice site selection and p220 binding, and that both the 3' stem-loop and the Sm site are important for Sm protein binding and cap methylation. Lineage: Eukaryota; Apicomplexa; Conoidasida; Eugregarinorida; Gregarinidae. The record is from Rfam by way of RNAcentral.